Molecule: long non-coding RNA, 627 nt
Organism: Brassica oleracea var. oleracea
Lineage: Eukaryota; Viridiplantae; Streptophyta; Magnoliopsida; Brassicales; Brassicaceae
Exons: 3
Source: RefSeq, a predicted model, not a curated record
AAGCUUCUUGACCAUUUGUUGUGCCUCUUUGGAUCUCAUGAUUCAAACUCCGAUCAAAGCCAGUGUAACGUUUCAGUUUUCGUCUCUGCUCCACAUUAAUCAAACCAUUAAUCUCCAUCACCUCGCUUAUCUCCUUCCGAACGGUCUCUCACUUUGAUUUCCUUAAAGCCCUAACUAGAAAUCCGACAAUAGAUCCACUCUACAAUCCUCCUUCCAUCGAAACCCUUUCCUGUGUUUGUGCUCAAUUCCAAGAUGGGAGGCGAAUGGUAUUCUUUGAAGCUUAUUCAGAUGAUGAAGCUUACGCUACGGCUCUUCAGGAAGUUGAAGAAAGUGAAAUGGCAGAUAGUAUGUCUUCAUGAUGUAUCCCUUUCUUUUUUACCUGGCGAAGACAUAUAUUAGCCUGCGAUUUGAGAAACCAGCAAAAGGUGCGGCUUCUCCACUGUACUUGAUCUGCUUUCAAUAUUGUAAAAGGAGCAGAGGAAGAAGCUUGGUAAAGGAAAACACUUUCUCUUAACCCUUAGUUUUCUCUGUAUCAAACUUUAAAAACAUUUUAUUAUGUGAUGAAUGUCAUGAUAAAAAUCUAUAACUUUGUGUAGUGGUAUUAAUUUUUAUUCAAUUUUCUCUACA